GCCGGGUGUGGUGGUUCAUGCCUGUAAUCCCAGCACUUUAGGAGGCUGAGGUGGGUGGAUCACCUGAGGUCAGGAGUUCAAGACCAGCCUGGCCAACAUGGUGAAACCCCAUCUCUA
Pongo abelii (Sumatran orangutan) is the source of this 117-nucleotide unclassified non-coding RNA. It matches the Rfam family "Metazoan signal recognition particle RNA". Rfam says of the family: The signal recognition particle (SRP) is a universally conserved ribonucleoprotein. It is involved in the co-translational targeting of proteins to membranes. NCBI's taxonomy places the organism in Eukaryota, Metazoa, Chordata, Mammalia, Primates, Hominidae. The record is from Ensembl.